GCCCGUAUAGCUCAGCGGCAGAGCACCGCUCCCACACAGCGGGUUGCCCUGGUUCGAGUCCAGGUGCGGGUAC
RNAcentral lists this transfer RNA (73 nucleotides) under Micromonospora parathelypteridis. RNAcentral describes it as "tRNA-Val". It matches the Rfam family "tRNA". From Rfam's summary of the family: Transfer RNA (tRNA) molecules are approximately 80 nucleotides in length. Their secondary structure includes four short double-helical elements and three loops (D, anti-codon, and T loops). Lineage: Bacteria; Bacillati; Actinomycetota; Actinomycetes; Micromonosporales; Micromonosporaceae. The record is from RNAcentral.